UGGUGCCAGCAGCCGCGGUAAUUCCAGCUCCAAUAGCGUAUAUUAAAGUUGUUGCAGUUAAAAAGCUCGUAGUUGAAUUUCGGGAUGAUCAGGUUGGUCGUGCCAUUGGUAUGUACUAGCUUUGGUGGUUCCUACCUCUUGAAGAACCGUAAUGUCAUUAACUUGGUGUUGCGGGGAAUCAGGACUGUUACUUUGAAAAAAUUAGAGUGUUUAAAGCAGGCAAACGCUUGAAUACAUUAGCAUGGAAUAAUGAAAUAGGACGUUUGAUCUUAUUUUGUUGGUUUCUAGGAUCGACGUAAUGAUUAAUAGGGAUAGUUGGGGGCAUUAGUAUUCAAUUGUCAGAGGUGAAAUUCUUGGAUUUAUUGAAGACUAACUACUGCGAAAGCAUUUGCCAAGGAUGUUUUCAUUAAUCAAGAACGAAAGUUAGGGGAUCGAAGACGAUCAGAUACCGUCGUAGUCUUAACCAUAAACUACGCCGACUAGGGA
Molecule: ribosomal RNA, 486 nt
Filed under: uncultured Sclerocystis
Lineage: Eukaryota; Fungi; Glomeromycota; Glomeromycetes; Glomerales; Glomeraceae
Description: SSU rRNA
Rfam family: Eukaryotic small subunit ribosomal RNA
Source: RNAcentral